Molecule: long non-coding RNA, 282 nt
Organism: Sander lucioperca (pikeperch)
Lineage: Eukaryota; Metazoa; Chordata; Actinopteri; Perciformes; Percidae
Exons: 3
Source: RefSeq, a predicted model, not a curated record
UCAAAAAGCUUGAGGCACACCUGGCUGUAAAAGAGGGAGACACAGUCUUUGUGUCAAACCUUAAAAAACAGGUUUGGGCAAACCUAUCCAAGCGCUACCAGAAUGAUGAGAUCAGGAACUUUCUCCAAGUGGCCACUGCGUUGGAUCCACGCUUUAAACAUAAAUUGGAUGAUGACACCAUCUGGGACCAGAUCCAGAGAAAUCUGAUUGAACAGUCAACAGAGGAAGACGGUGGAGCUGAUGGGGACACUAUGCAGUCUGAGAAUGAGGAUGAGCAGGAGA